AGGAUGUAAGUAGAUGGGUUGUAAGCAUAUGUUCAUGUAAUUUUAUAUGAAUUGUCUGUAUAAUGGGUCCAUCCUCCGGUAUCAUUCUACAAUAAUUACCUAGAUGGAAGGAUCGAUUGAUAACAUGAAAAGGACAACCAUCACACAGCAGCGAUGAUAAUUGAACGGGACUAGCGAGAUGCUCCGAUGAUGAUGAAGGCCCA
This 203-nucleotide long non-coding RNA is filed under the name Elaeis guineensis (African oil palm). Its description in RNAcentral is "long non-coding RNA (EGUI_LNC018921)". The record is from RNAcentral. Lineage: Eukaryota; Viridiplantae; Streptophyta; Magnoliopsida; Arecales; Arecaceae.